GAAGUGAAGUGGGUCCUCUUUGUUUUCUCCUCUUUUUCUGUAGAGUAAGGCACAACCUUUUGAAGUGGCCGUAAGGCACAACGCGGCCAAGAGUGAGGAGGUACCGAAUAAUUUAAAGCAGUAUGCUGAAAACUUGUCGUAUCUUUUAUUUGUAGGGUAUACCACUUCGGAAAAAAAGAUGACAAAGGAAGCUUCCAAGCAAAAUGAAGAGCUUGCUGGUCUGUUUUGGUUAUUUUGCAGUGUCUCUACAACUGUACAGGCCCUGCCUGUCCAACCACCAUCUGGCUCGCAUAUCUGACGAGGUCUUCGCUACUUGUGCUGCGUGAACUUUUUAGCUCCAUCCUCCG
Molecule: long non-coding RNA, 347 nt
Filed under: Setaria viridis
Lineage: Eukaryota; Viridiplantae; Streptophyta; Magnoliopsida; Poales; Poaceae
Description: long non-coding RNA (SVIR_LNC009655)
Source: RNAcentral